This 925-nucleotide long non-coding RNA is filed under the name Equus caballus (horse). Its description in RNAcentral is "lncRNA (ENSECAG00000048383.1)". Lineage: Eukaryota; Metazoa; Chordata; Mammalia; Perissodactyla; Equidae. The record is from RNAcentral.
AAAAAUAAGAGAUGAAUUUACUAGGUUAAAAGGAGGUAAGAAUUCUUGAGUUGCCCAGGGAAGAAUUCAGAGCCCCUGUGUUAGACUCUGGUGAAAUUACUGCUGAUGGAAACUGGCUCAUAAUGGAAAGAUGAUGAUGCAGGAUGAAAACAGUGAGGGGCAGUAGUUGGUGGUCCUUGAAUGAAGACUAGGUGCAUUGCUCCCAUAGAGAGACAUCUUCCACACUGAAACUUGGUGUCAUCAGCAGAGUGAUGUCUCCCCAAAGAUGUCUACCUCUGAAUCCCUGGGAUCAGUGAAUAUGUCACCUUACAUGGCAUAGGGACUUUGCAGAGGUGAUUAAGAGAUGACCUGUGCCCAGUUUGGAGAUGAACGCUGCCUUCUUCAAUUCAUAGCUAAGCCAGUCUGGGCUUGUGCCGCUAAGAGGCAGAUCCCCUGGAAUCAGUUCAGCAUUUGGGUUAAAUGCUGCAAAGCAGGAAGAGUCUGAGAUGAAGAUUGGAACAAGCCUGUGCGACAUCACCUCUGAAUUCCCUAGGGCCAGUCAUUUAAGUUCUCCUCUGAUUCUGAAAAUCCCCCCUGAUCUCCCCAGCUUCUGCUCCAAAAGGCACAUAUCCAGCCCCUCAUGGAACCCAGAACAGCACCAAGAUUUCUAUUGAAGGAGAUUCUCUUUUCUUCAAAGGUAGUUGUGAUUAUAAACAGCAGCAUUGCUUUUUUAUUGAAUGUUUAUGUCUUCAUCAGACUGUCAAGGUUGGGAGAACUGGCCUUCUAAUGCAACCAAGCUGGGGGUAGAUGCUGGCCAUGCCUGGGUGAAAAACUCACGUAGGGGCCGGCUCCGUGGCCGAGUGGUUAAGUUGGCGCGCUCCACUGCGGUGGCCCAGGGUUCGGAUCCUGGGCUCAGACAUGGCACCGUUCGUCAGGCCACGUUGAG